This 619-nucleotide ribosomal RNA is filed under the name Micrococcus antarcticus. RNAcentral describes it as "bacterial SSU rRNA". It matches the Rfam family "Bacterial small subunit ribosomal RNA", at positions 34 to 667 of the family's 1533-position model. Lineage: Bacteria; Bacillati; Actinomycetota; Actinomycetes; Micrococcales; Micrococcaceae. The record is from RNAcentral.
CGCUGGCGGCGUGCUUAACACAUGCAAGUCGAACGAUGAAGCCCAGCUUGCUGGGUGGAUUAGUGGCGAACGGGUGAGUAACACGUGAGUAACCUGCCCUUGACUCUAGGAUAAGCCCGGGAAACUGGGUCUAAUACUGGAUAGGAACGUCUACCGCAUGGUGGAUGUUGGAAAGAAUUUCGGUCAUGGAUGGACUCGCGGCCUAUCAGCUUGUUGGUGAGGUAAUGGCUCACCAAGGCGACGACGGGUAGCCGGCCUGAGAGGGUGACCGGCCACACUGGGACUGAGACACGGCCCAGACUCCUACGGGAGGCAGCAGUGGGGAAUAUUGCACAAUGGGCGAAAGCCUGAUGCAGCGACGCCGCGUGAGGGAUGACGGCCUUCGGGUUGUAAACCUCUUUCAGUAGGGAAGAAGCGAAAGUGACGGUACCUGCAGAAGAAGCACCGGCUAACUACGUGCCAGCAGCCGCGGUAAUACGUAGGGUGCGAGCGUUAUCCGGAAUUAUUGGGCGUAAAGAGCUCGUAGGCGGUUUGUCGCGUCUGUCGUGAAAGUCCGGGGCUUAACCCCGGAUCUGCGGUGGGUACGGGCAGACUAAAGUGCANUAGGGGAGACUGGAAU